RNAcentral lists this ribosomal RNA (261 nucleotides) under uncultured bacterium. Its description in RNAcentral is "partial 16S ribosomal RNA". It matches the Rfam family "Bacterial small subunit ribosomal RNA", at positions 95 to 354 of the family's 1533-position model. The record is from RNAcentral.
CCGGCGCACGGGUGAGUAACACGUAUGCAACCUGCCUGCCACAGCCGGAUAAUCGGGAGAAAUUCCGUCUAAUACGGCAUAAUGCAUCGACGGGACAUCCUGUUGGUGCCAAAGGUUAAUUCCGGUGGCGGAUGGGCAUGCGUCGCAUUAGUUAGUUGGCGGUGUAACGGACCACCAAGACGACGAUGCGUAGGGGUUCUGAGAGGAAGGUCCCCCACACUGGUACUGAGACACGGACCAGACUCCUACGGAAGGCAGCAG